This is a non-coding RNA of Danio rerio (zebrafish), 1529 nucleotides long. The record is from RefSeq and is a predicted model, not a curated record. NCBI's taxonomy places the organism in Eukaryota, Metazoa, Chordata, Actinopteri, Cypriniformes, Danionidae.
AUGAAGGUAUUUUUGGUGCAAAACUCCCAAGCAGCUGUAAAAGUGUCAUUUGUAGUUGUAAAAAAUAGCCACACAUGUGUAUCAGUAAAUUUGUACUCGCAGAGCAAAUUUGCAAAUGCGUAUCAGUAAAUUUGUACUCGCAGAGCAAAUUUGCAAAUGUGUAGGUAUUUUUUGUCUCCAACAAACACAACGCAACAUUUACACCUGCACAAAUUCUUCAGUACAGGUGCACAAAUCCCAUCGGACGAAUCACAAAUGCAGAAACUCAUCCGCUCAUGUUCUUUGCUACUAUUGUUGCAGUGAAUAUGGUGCAAAACACAUUCACACACCUGCAUCCAGAAAUGUGAAGUCACAGACAAAACUUGCACAUCUGUAGAUUAGAAUGUGUAUCCGCACAAAGAGAGCUGAACGUGUGUAGAAUGUUUGAUUAUUUUUUUUCUAAGCACGAACACAAAUAUGUUCCUGCAACUGCUCAAAUCUGCCGCUACGAGUCUCAAGCGCUGUUUUUCACUUGCAAAUCUACAUUUCGCUCUCUCGCUCUUCUGCACCAAAAAUCACUGUGACAUUUGGUGCAAAAGUUACUUGUGUAUCUGCCAACCAAAACGUGGGCUCUCAGAGAAAUUCAGCCAAUAGGGGAUGGGGCGUGACGUCACCGCUCUAGCGCUGCGGAGGCUGAACGUCGAAACCGAAACCCCCUUUGCGAGAUUCGCUGCAUCUAUACCUGAUUUGCGUUCAAAAUGCCUGCUUCAUUAUUUCAUAGUAGGAGCAAACAUGCCUUAAGAAAAUAAGUAGGUUUGAAACUUUAGUAACCAUAAAAAGUACGCCAGGUGGAUGCCUUUCUACUCCAGGAAGCCGCAGCCUACGGCCUGAAGGAGGAAGAGGACGCGGUCAGUUUGAAAUAUCUGUUGUGAUAGAGCUGGACCUGUAGACAAGGGAACUAACACAUUUGAGGAAAAAAGAAUCCAAAAUAAGAGAUUGGUGUGUGUGGUGAGGGUAAAGAAGUCCACAUGCAGCAGCAUCUUGGAAAUGCUGUAAUGCAGGGGUGCCCAAACUCAGUUCUGGACAGCUGGUGUCCUGCAGAGUUUAGAGUCAACUUCAACUAAACUCUGCAAGACAGCAGCAGUUCUAGACUGAGUUUAGCCACUCCUGUUCUCCUGUAGUGAACUGAACGAGACCCUGCAUCAGUCCACAUGCCCUUGUGUCCUCAUCUGGACCAGAUGUUGCUGUGGUCUCUUCAUCAUCCGUAUCUCGGGCAUGGACUGCCAUGCAUCACCGUCCUGUUUCAGUCUGACUGCAGCAAUGAGGGAUGUGAUGAUGGCGAAGUCCCUCUGAUCAUCUGAAGAACUGGCCCAGCUGUGUGGAGAUACAGCAAAACAUGGGCUUCUGUCUGUAAUACAUCACUGUUAGAAUAAAGCUUGGUUUCAUGUGUUGGUGACUUGUAUUUAUUUGUCAUGAUUACUCAUAUUCAUUCUUUUAAUAAUAUAAUUAUGUUUCUGUUUGUUUUCAAUAAAUAAUGAUAAUACUUUCAA